ACAGUGGUGGUUCAGUGGAAGAGCUCUCGCCUUCUAUGUGGGAGGCUCAGGUUCAGUUCCUGGCCAAUGCU
RNAcentral lists this transfer RNA (71 nucleotides) under Loxodonta africana (African savanna elephant). It matches the Rfam family "tRNA". Rfam says of the family: Transfer RNA (tRNA) molecules are approximately 80 nucleotides in length. Lineage: Eukaryota; Metazoa; Chordata; Mammalia; Proboscidea; Elephantidae. The record is from Rfam by way of RNAcentral.